AAUUACACAGUAGGAUACAGAGGAUAUAUCCUGCCUCUCAGUGUGUGGAAGAGCUGAUAGAGCAAUCUUAUGUUCAGAGAUGUGAUAUACCUGUAACUAUAAAUUGUGUUCUAGGUGGAAAGAACUAAUUUGAGAAGUACAACAAGAAUGGGAAAACCGGUGCUGGAAUAAUAACAGAGACCCAUACAAGCGGAGGGAGGUGAUAAUCAUGCCUCUCCAGAGUUUUUUUCAAAGGUUGCAGAAAAUUGCCUAAAGAAAAAGGCGCAGCUUUGUUAUUUGAUGAAGUACAGACCGGAGGAGGCGCCACAGGAAAGUUCUGGUGCACACGGAACAUUUUGACCUGGAAUUCUCUCCAGACUUUGUUACCUUCAGCAAAAAAGAUGACCAUUGGAGGUUUCUACCACACUGCAGAAAUCAUGCCUAAGAUUCCGUGACCGUGUUCUGAACACCCUGGAUGGGUUGACCCAGGUCGACUGCU
Homalodisca vitripennis (glassy-winged sharpshooter) is the source of this 478-nucleotide long non-coding RNA. RefSeq lists it as uncharacterized. NCBI's taxonomy places the organism in Eukaryota, Metazoa, Arthropoda, Insecta, Hemiptera, Cicadellidae. The record is from RefSeq and is a predicted model, not a curated record. The transcript is spliced from 3 exons.